GACGAACGCUGGCGGCGUGCUUAACACAUGCAAGUCGAACGGAAAGGCCCUGCUUUUGUGGGGUGCUCGAGUGGCGAACGGGUGAGUAACACGUGAGUAACCUGCCCUUGACUUUGGGAUAACUUCAGGAAACUGGGGCUAAUACCGGAUAGGAGCUCCUGCUGCAUGGUGGGGGUUGGAAAGUUUCGGCGGGUGGGGAUGGACGCGCGGCUUAUCAGCUUGUUGGUGGGGUAGUGGCUUACCAAGGCUUUGACGGGUAGCCGGCCUGAGAGGGUGACCGGCCACAUUGGGACUGAGAUACGGCCCAGACUCCUACGGGAGGCAGCAGUGGGGAAUAUUGCACAAUGGGCGGAAGCCUGAUGCAGCAACGCCGCGUGCGGGAUGACGGCCUUCGGGUUGUAAACCGCUUUCGCCUGUGACGAAGCGUGAGUGACGGUAAUGGGUAAAGAAGCACCGGCUAACUACGUG
This 468-nucleotide ribosomal RNA is filed under the name uncultured bacterium. RNAcentral's name for it is "partial 16S ribosomal RNA". It matches the Rfam family "Bacterial small subunit ribosomal RNA", at positions 28 to 507 of the family's 1533-position model. The record is from RNAcentral.